Molecule: ribosomal RNA, 408 nt
Filed under: uncultured bacterium
Lineage: Bacteria
Description: partial 16S ribosomal RNA
Rfam family: Bacterial small subunit ribosomal RNA
Source: RNAcentral
GACGAACGCUGGCGGCGUGCUUAACACAUGCAAGUCGAACGAAGUGGCGAACGGGUGUGUAAUACUGGGGUAACCUGCCCUCCUUUUUGGGCUAACCCUUGGAAACGGGGCCUAAUACCGGAUACCGGGGGAUGGGCACGCGGCCUAUCAGCUUGUUGGUGGGGUGAUGGACUACCCAGGCGGUGACGGGUAGCCGGCCUGAGAGGGUGACCGGCAACAGAGGGACUGAGAUACGGCCCAGACUAGUACGGGAGGGAGCAGUGUGGGAGAUUGCACAAUGGGUGAAAGCCUGAUGCAGCGACGCCGCGUGGGGGAUGAAGGCUUUCGGGUUGUAAACCUCUUGCGCUAUCGAAGGGGUAGGUGGAGAAGAAGCGCCGGCUAACUACGUGCCAGCAGCCGCGGUAAUUC